This 356-nucleotide ribosomal RNA is filed under the name Lachnospiraceae bacterium. RNAcentral describes it as "partial 16S ribosomal RNA". It matches the Rfam family "Bacterial small subunit ribosomal RNA", at positions 1 to 337 of the family's 1533-position model. The record is from RNAcentral. Lineage: Bacteria; Bacillati; Bacillota; Clostridia; Lachnospirales; Lachnospiraceae.
AAACUGAGAGUUCGAUCCUGGCUCAGGAUGAACGNNNNNNNNNNCGUGCCUAACACAUGCAAGUCGAACGAAGCUAUGAGACGGAAGCCUUCGGGUGGAAGACUGAUAGACUGAGUGGCGGACGGGUGAGUAACGCGUGGGCAACCUGCCCCAUACCGGGGGAUAGCAGUUGGAAACGACUGGUAAAACCGCAUAAGCGCACGGUAAGGCAUCUUACAGUGUGAAAAACUCCGGUGGUAUGGGAUGGGCCCGCGUCUGAUUAGCCAGUUGGUGAGGUAACGGCUCACCAAAGCGACGAUCAGUAGCCGGCCUGAGAGGGCGGACGGCCACAUUGGGACUGAGACACGGCCCAGACU